CCAAAGGCUCUUUUCAGAGCCACCUAUAAGAACACACGGAGGAGCU
Molecule: non-coding RNA, 46 nt
Organism: Rattus norvegicus (Norway rat)
Lineage: Eukaryota; Metazoa; Chordata; Mammalia; Rodentia; Muridae
Source: Rfam